Molecule: transfer RNA, 58 nt
Filed under: Schmidtea mediterranea
Lineage: Eukaryota; Metazoa; Platyhelminthes; Tricladida; Dugesiidae
Description: tRNA-Ser
Source: RNAcentral
GAGAUAGAUUUCAUAUGUUUUGAAAACAUAUUUAGAAGUAUAAUUGCUUCCUAUUUUU